ACUGGGAUUACCUUUAGUAACGGCGAGUGAAGCGGUAAAAAGCUCAAAUUUGAAAUCUGGUACUUUUCAGUGCCCGAGUUGUAAUUUGUAGAAUUUGUCUUUGAUUAGGUCCUUGUCUAUGUUCCUUGGAACAGGACGUCAUAGAGGGUGAGAAUCCCGUUUGGCGAGGAUACCUUUUCUCUGUAAGACUUUUUCGAAGAGUCGAGUUGUUUGGGAAUGCAGCUCAAAGUGGGUGGUAAAUUCCAUCUAAAGCUAAAUAUUGGCGAGAGACCGAUAGCGAACAAGUACAGUGAUGGAAAGAUGAAAAGAACUUUGAAAAGAGAGUGAAAAAGUACGUGAAAUUGUUGAAAGGGAAGGGCAUUUGAUCAGACAUGGUGUUUUUUUAAUGUGCAAGUCUCUCGUGGACAUGUGCCUCUGGAAAUUAACACUGGGCCAACAUCAGUUCUGGCGGUAGGAUAAAUCAUUAAGAAUGUAGCUACCUCGGUAGUGUUAUAGCUUUUUGGAAUACUGCCAGCUGGGAUUGAGGACUGCCCUUCGGCAAGGAUGUUGGCAUAAUGGUUAAAUGCCGCCCGUCUUGAAACACGGACC
RNAcentral lists this ribosomal RNA (588 nucleotides) under Hanseniaspora thailandica (nom. inval.). Its description in RNAcentral is "eukaryotic LSU rRNA". It matches the Rfam family "Eukaryotic large subunit ribosomal RNA", at positions 68 to 667 of the family's 3401-position model. The record is from RNAcentral. Lineage: Eukaryota; Fungi; Ascomycota; Saccharomycetes; Saccharomycodales; Saccharomycodaceae.